GCUGAAUGGCUCCUCGAAAUCUGUUUUCAGGAACAGGUUUCAAACUGCUCCAAGCUGCUGAGAUUAAGAGUCUUUGGUGGUUAAUGUUGUGGGGAAAGGCAGGUCAUGAAUCUGUCAAGU
Non-coding RNA from Spirochaetes bacterium GWF1_31_7, 120 nucleotides. The record is from Rfam. NCBI's taxonomy places the organism in Bacteria, Pseudomonadati, Spirochaetota.